CAUGAUUCCUUUGUUUAAUCCUCACAAGGGCACUACAGAGUGGGCUAGUUCAGCUAUGUUCCCUUUGAUAGAUGAAAAAUUAAAACUAGACACAGAGAGGGGUAGCCAGGCAGCAACUGUGUGGUGAGCUGGGAUAGCCCCAGACUGGCUCCAGGGACUGCAGGGUAGACCGAGCUAUAAGGCUGGUGCUUUCUCUUCUCCUCUCCCUUCCCUGCCUUGCUGUCCUCCUUCCCUCCCUCCUUCCUCAAUUCCUGCCAUCAGAUCACGUGUCCAAAUAUUCUUCCAAUUGUCCACCCAUCCACCCACCUGGUGCCCAGUGGCUUUUCCCUUCUCUCCACAGUAGUGGACCUGCAUCAAGAAAGGGACCAAAGGGAAGCAAGAUGCAGCUGCUGCCUGCAGAAGGGCUUUCUGACAAGGACGGGUGAUGUAGAAGCAUCCACCUGCCACAGGACAUAGCUUGAACACUUCGGGUGCUGAGCCCUUCCUGCCUGUGGGAUACUGAGCAGUUUUGCAAUGAUUUUCUCCUUUCACCCGCGAGACGGCUCCAAGUUCAAAGCCAUUAUUCUCCUGUGGCAGAGAGGAGACUGAAGUCCAGAGAGGGAGGGUGAAGUGAGACAAAGCGUGGAAGCUGUGUUGGCACCUGGUGAGUUCUUAGAGGUGGAGGUCCCUGUGGAUGCUGCAACUGAUAAUACGUAUCUCCCCAAAGUCCUGCAGGAAGGGCUGGAGCCCAGCCGACAAGCAACAGGGGAGGCCUUGCGCCCAGGUGUUCUUGCCUGCCUGGGCUGUCUGGGGCAACCAGGUCCAAACGGGGUGUCACCCCCAAGGGCGGGACUAGGGUACAAGUCACAUCAUGAGGGAGACCUCCCUUUCCCACGGCACCCCAGAGCUGCCAAGCGCCACGCUGCCAUUGCAUAAGCCACCGACCUGCCACCGCUGGCUGCCCCGUGCGUUGCCACGUAAAUAGAACCCUGUAUUUACCUACCCUGGGGAAGGGACAGGCCUACCUGGUGGGCGGGGAGACAGCAGCUCAGAGGCCUCCAGCUCUGAUUUCUGUUCUGCUCCAAGUGCACACACAUCCUGUGCCCAGGAGCUGGGCUUGGGUGGGGGUGCACCGGCAGAAGGGGCCAAAGGAAACUCUGCGUCCUGGGAGCAUGGGCCAAAGGCCUCUGGGUUGCAGGCUCAGGUUGCAGCCACCAGCUCUGGGCGGGGGAGACCAGACUUGCCUUGCAGGCUACGGCCAUAUCUGAGCAGCAAGCGUCAGAUGGCACUGAUGGCCCCAGAGACCUCCCUGCUGUUGGCACUGGUCAGCUGCACAGGAAGGACAAAUGGCCAUCUGCACAGCCAGGGCCAGAGCCCAGGAGUCUCCAGGAGCCAGCCAUGGGCACAGCCCCACCUGUAACAACCAUUCCUCCAGAAAGCCAAACUCAGUAAAGACUUAUUUUGUUGUAAAGAAAUAUAAUACAUGUUUUAGCUUUAAUUUCCAUAACAUUCUAGAUGUUCCUAUUCUUGUUUUACACAGGAAGAAACUGAGGCACAGAGAAGUAAAUGACUGAUCCAAGGCCACAGAGCUAAUGGGAUGAUAGAGUCAGGAUUUGAA
This 1597-nucleotide long non-coding RNA is filed under the name Homo sapiens (human). RNAcentral's name for it is "HSALNT0177569". Lineage: Eukaryota; Metazoa; Chordata; Mammalia; Primates; Hominidae. The record is from RNAcentral.